Long non-coding RNA from Anopheles coluzzii, 341 nucleotides. RefSeq lists it as uncharacterized. The transcript has 2 exons. The record is from RefSeq and is a predicted model, not a curated record. Lineage: Eukaryota; Metazoa; Arthropoda; Insecta; Diptera; Culicidae.
CCAAUAACAAUUCCUUGCUCGUAAGCAAGCGAUGGGAUCCUGUAAGAAUUUUUAAAUCUGCCGCUGUUUUGUCAUUCACGCAUUGCGCUGUGAUGUUUGAAAGACUGCAGCAGCAAUUACAAGUACUACACAUUUCGUGAAAUUAGCCAUCAUUAAACUAUCAACUGUAACUUCCUUUUAAUUUUUUGGCGGAUGAAAGACACUGCUCCAAGAGCCGUUGUUCGUUGCAGAAUACGCUGAAAAGUCUUUUUGUAAGCAUUUAACUUAAGUUACUACUCAAGUUAAUGUAAAUAUGUGUACGAUAGCUCGAUAGGGAAAAUAAAUAAAUUACUAACAGUUUC